RNAcentral lists this ribosomal RNA (510 nucleotides) under Rhinatrema uaiuai. RNAcentral describes it as "partial 16S large subunit ribosomal RNA". It matches the Rfam family "Bacterial large subunit ribosomal RNA", at positions 1853 to 2597 of the family's 2925-position model. The record is from RNAcentral. Lineage: Eukaryota; Metazoa; Chordata; Amphibia; Gymnophiona; Rhinatrematidae.
UACUGCCUGCCCAGUGAUAAUUAUUUAACGGCCGCGGUAUUCUGACCGUGCAAAGGUAGCAUAAUCACUUGUCUUUUAAAUAGAGACCUGUAUGAAUGGCAAAACGAAGGCUUAACUGUCUCCUUUAUCCAAUCAGUGAAAUUGAUCUCCUUGUACAAAAGCAAGGAUGCCUACACAAGACGAGAAGACCCUAUGGAGCUUUAAACACACAUUCAAUUAAUUUUUUAACCAUGAUAUGUAGUUUUUGGUUGGGGCGACCACGGAGAACAAUUCAUCCUCCGAGCAUAUAUUAACACAAUUAAUCAAGCCAAGAAAAACAUUACAAAGCACCAGAACUUCUAAUCUAUUGACCCAAUAUUUGAUCAACGAACCAAGUUACCCUAGGGAUAACAGCGCAAUCCCAUUAGAGAGUCCAUAUCGACAAUGGGGCUUACGACCUCGAUGUUGGAUCAGGAUACCCCACCAGUGCAGCAGCUGUUAAAGGUUCGUUUGUUCAACGAUUAAAAUCCU